RNAcentral lists this ribosomal RNA (254 nucleotides) under uncultured bacterium. Its description in RNAcentral is "partial 16S ribosomal RNA". It matches the Rfam family "Bacterial small subunit ribosomal RNA", at positions 524 to 777 of the family's 1533-position model. The record is from RNAcentral.
GACGAACCGUACGAACGUUAUUCGGAAUUACUGGGCUUAAAGGGUGCGUAGGCUGCGCGGAAAGUUGGGUGUGAAAUCCCUCGGCUCAACCGAGGAACUGCGCUCAAAACUACCGUGCUCGAGGGAGACAGAGGUGAGCGGAACUUAGGGUGGAGCGGUGAAAUGCGUUGAUAUCCUAAGGAACACCCGUGGCGAAAGCGGCUCACUGGGUCUCUUCUGACGCUGAGGCACGAAAGCUAGGGUAGCGAACGGGG